RNAcentral lists this transfer RNA (76 nucleotides) under Clostridia bacterium. RNAcentral's name for it is "tRNA-Pro". It matches the Rfam family "tRNA". Rfam says of the family: Transfer RNA (tRNA) molecules are approximately 80 nucleotides in length. Their secondary structure includes four short double-helical elements and three loops (D, anti-codon, and T loops). Further hydrogen bonds mediate the characteristic L-shaped molecular structure. tRNAs have two regions of fundamental functional importance: the anti-codon, which is responsible for specific mRNA codon recognition, and the 3' end, to which the tRNAs corresponding amino acid is attached (by aminoacyl-tRNA synthetases). tRNAs cope with the degeneracy of the genetic code in two manners: having more than one tRNA (with a specific anti-codon) for a particular amino acid; and 'wobble' base-pairing, i.e. permitting non-standard base-pairing at the 3rd anti-codon position. The record is from RNAcentral. Lineage: Bacteria; Bacillati; Bacillota; Clostridia.
CGGGAUGUAGCGCAGUUGGUAGCGCGCUUGGUUUGGGACCAAGAUGUAGCAGGUUCAAAUCCUGUCAUUCCGACCA